AGUCGUGUGAUUGGAUUAAGAGCUUGCUCUUAUGAAGUUAGCGGCGGACGGGUGAGUAACACGUGGGUAACCUGCCCAUAAGACUGGGAUAACUCCGGGAAACCGGGGCUAAUACCGGAUAACAUUUUGAACUGCAUGGUUCGAAAUUGAAAGGCGGCUUCGGCUGUCACUUAUGGAUGGACCCGCGUCGCAUUAGCUAGUUGGUGAGGUAACGGCUCACCAAGGCAACGAUGCGUAGCCGACCUGAGAGGGUGAUCGGCCACACUGGGACUGAGACACGGCCCAGACUCCUACGGGAGGCAGCAGUAGGGAAUCUUCCGCAAUGGACGAAAGUCUGACGGAGCAACGCCGCGUGAGUGAUGAAGGCUUUCGGGUCGUAAAACUCUGUUGUUAGGGAAGAACAAGUGCUAGUUGAAUAAGCUGGCACCUUGACGGUACCUAACCAGAAAGCCACGGCUAACUACGUGCCAGCAGCCGCGGUAAUACGUAGGUGGCAAGCGUUAUCCGGAAUUAUUGGGCGUAAAGCGCGCGCAGGUGGUUUCUUAAGUCUGAUGUGAAAGCCCACGGCUCAACCGUGGAGGGUCAUUGGAAACUGGGAGACUUGAGUGCAGAAGAGGAAAGUGGAAUUCCAUGUGUAGCGGUGAAAUGCGUAUAGAUAUGGAGGAACACCAGUGGCGAAGGCGACUUUCUGGUCUGUAACUGACACUGAGGCGCGAAAGCGUGGGGAGCAAACAGGAUUAAAUACCCUGGUAGUCCACGCCGUAAACAAUGAGUGCUAAGUGUUAGAGAGAUUUCCCCCCUUUACUGCUGAAAGUUAACGCAUUUAAGCAC
RNAcentral lists this ribosomal RNA (831 nucleotides) under Bacillus anthracis (anthrax bacterium). Its description in RNAcentral is "bacterial SSU rRNA". It matches the Rfam family "Bacterial small subunit ribosomal RNA", at positions 60 to 867 of the family's 1533-position model. Lineage: Bacteria; Bacillati; Bacillota; Bacilli; Caryophanales; Bacillaceae. The record is from RNAcentral.